RNAcentral lists this long non-coding RNA (4327 nucleotides) under Macaca fascicularis (crab-eating macaque). RNAcentral describes it as "lncRNA (ENSMFAG00000047504.1)". The record is from RNAcentral. Lineage: Eukaryota; Metazoa; Chordata; Mammalia; Primates; Cercopithecidae.
UUUUUUCUUUUUGCUUUUUAUCACAUUAGCUACAAUUUCCAACACUAUGUUAAUUAACAGACGUAAAAGCAGACUUCCCUGCCUUGUUUCCUAUCAGAGGGAAGUAAUUCAGUCAUUCAUUAUUAAUGAACAUUAGCGGUAGCUUUUUUGUAGGUGCUUUUUAUCAAGAUGAAGUAGUUACCCUCUAAUUUCUAAUUUCCUAAGUUUUAUCAUUUCUGUAUCACAAACACUGAAUUUUGUCAAGUGCUUGUUCUCUGAUUGAUACAAUCAUGUGAUUUACUUUUAUUCAGCCUGAUAAUACAGUAGUCAAUUCUAAAAUAUUAAACCAGAUUUCUAUCUCUGGAAUAACCCUCAUUUGGUCUUUAAAAAGUAUUGCUAAAUUCUACUUGCUAACAUUCUGCUAAGGAUUUUCACAUCUAUAUUCAUAAGGAUAUUGGCCUGUAGUUUUCUCACUUGUACUGUCUCUGGUUUUGGCAACAGAAUAAUUCCAGCUUUACAAAAUGAAGUAUUCUCUCCUUUUCUAUUUUCUGGAAGAGAUUGUAUAGAAUUAGUGUUAAUUCUUCUUUAAAUAUUUGGUAGAAUUCUCCAGUAAUUCUUCCAUCCCCAGACACUCUGAUGUUAUUAGCAUGUAGCAUGACCCAGGCGUGGGGAUUUUAAAAAUCUCCCCGGGUGAUUAAACUUUGCAGUGUGGGAACCACUACCUUAUUGUAUAGAGUGAAUAUGGCUAAGCCUAUUAUUAUUUCAUCUGUGCUUACCUUGUCUGCCUUGAUUACACCUGUAAUCCUAAGGCAGGACCAGGUCAACUUUUUUUUUUUUUGAGCAUGGAUUGAUUGAUCAACUGAUUGAAUAUUAGGCCCUUAUGUGCUUAUGAUUAACCAGUGUUAACAGAUAAUUACUGUAUUGGAUUGGAAUUUCUUUUUAGGGGGAGAUUUAAAAUUAUAAACUCAUCUUCCCUAAUGGUUAUACGUCCUUCACACUUUUAAAAAACAAAGGUGGGGGGCCGGGCGCGGUGGCUCACGUCUGUAAUCCCAGCACUUUGGGAGGCCGAGGCGGGCGGAUCACGAGGUCAGGAGAUCGAGAUCAUCCUGGCUAACACCGUGAAACCCCGUCUCUACUAAAAAUACAGAAAAAUUAGCCGGGCACGGUGGCGGGCGCCUGUAGUUCCAGCUACUGGGGAGGCUGAGGCAGGAGAAUGGCGUGAACCCGGGAGGCGGAGCUUGCAGUGAGCUGAGAUGACGCCACUGCACUCCAGCCUGGGCGACAGAGUGAGGCUCCGUCUCAAACAAACAAACAAACAAACACAAAGGUGGGAUGAGAGUUUGAUGAGGGCUAUAUUGGAGACAGAGUACAACAUACCAAAAUUUGGGGAUUCAAAUGUGGUAGAGAACAUUGGUUUUCAGUAUUUUAAAAACGAUGGAUCCUUUACAUCAAAUGAAACCUGACAUAGAAUCCCAAUACAAGACCAGAGACUCUGGUAAAAUCUUAGGUAGGAACCUUUCCUUCCCUCCCCCAACCCUUCUUAGGGCCAUAAAAUCUGGAGGCAUGCUGUGGUCGACCACAGUUACAUCUCCACACAGGAAGGCCCUUUGUACACACACUGGGAAAAUUGCCAGGUACAAUUGGGCAAGAGUGGUCACAGGUAAGUUAUGUAAACAUAGCAUAGAAAAAAUCUUGGAAUGUUGAACCUUGACAUUAGGUCGCAGGGUAUGGUUAUGCCCUUAUGUGAUAACAUAAAUUGUGCUGCUUUUCCGGCAGGAAAGAAAAAAAGGAGUACCUUAGUACCCACUCAGAUUGCUGAUCAUUACCUCUAUUUUGAGGGCUCCCCCAGGAGGAACACGAGAGAGAGACCUUGAACAGAUGCGCUCUUGGAUGCACCCUUUUCUAUGAAGUUUUAAUGUCACUUGAUGAUCAAUAAACCUUAUCAGUUGGAGAAGCAGCCAAACUGGACUACUUGCUUCCAGGCAGCUUAUAACCUAAAACAGAACUUUCACAAAUGCAGGAUUAAAUUUGUCACCCAUUUUCCUCUUCCCGUCUAUGAUACCUUAGAUGGCUCUAUUUUGUAAGCAUCCCAAAUUAAGGAUUCUCUCUGCUUCACUGGAGAUCUUGACAAAGCAAAAAAGCCCCUUCUUCUUUCCAUUAACCAAAAUGGUUGUUUAGGAUUCUAUACGAUUUUUAAUAUAUGUAGUCUUCAUUUUAGUAUGACAAAUGAGGGCUCAUGCUUAAUAAUCAGAUCAGUAAUCAAGAAUAUUUUUUGCCAAGAGUUGCCUUUUUGAUUUUUUUGAAAUUACCUCAGACAUAACCACUGUUAAGUGCCAGUCUCCUUCCUAACAUUCCUUAAUUUCUGUUGUUAAGUUGAUAAAAAAUGUAAAAUUGGAACAUUAUUCAACUACUUUGACAAUUUCUAACUCCAACAUUAUAAACAUAUAAUUUUUAAGUAUUUCUUAACAUUUCCAAUUUGAAAAUACAGGAAAUUUUUCAAGUCUGAAGUCAUAGAUAAUAACCUUCAGAAACUGGUUUGAAAUGUCCUUGACAUUAUGAAUAUUUACCUGUAUUUCCAGACAGAUUUGGUUUAUAUAUCUCUGGGAUAAACAAAAAACAUUUUAACAUUAAAAGUUAAAAGUUAUAAAGAUUAUCUCCCAUAUCUUUCAAUAGAUACUCAUGAUGAGACUAUCAAAGGUUUCUUGACAAUUUAUAAAACAUCUGUAGUUUCAAGAAAAAAAAAUCUGCUAUGGUAUACAAAAUCCUGGCAAUUAUAUAUUGUGUAAAAUAUCCGUAAUAGUGUCACUACUACAGCAGAGCUUAACCACUGUAUUAGGCAUAAUUUGGUUUCUGUUAUGAAUAUGGAAUAAAUUCAGUAAGUUCUAACACAUUUCAGAAAAAAUAACUUAUGCUGUUAACAAAGCAAAAUUAUUGCUUAGGUAUUUAUACAUAUCUGCUUUGUAAAAGAAAAUGCAAAAUGUAUCACGAGUUUUAAAAACUAUAUAUAUUGACCAUGAAGUUCUGAGAAUAUAUCAUGAAUAAUCAAAGGCAUGAUGUUCACAGCAUUGUUCAUACUAAAAAGUGGAGAGGUUAAGUUCCCAAAAUGAGAACUGAUUCAUUACAUUGAUUCAUCUUCAAAUAAUGGAGGAACCAUUAAAAAUAGUAUCAAUAUCAUAAGGGAAAAAAGGUUACAAGGCAGUAGAAAUUAUUUAAUUCCAGUUUUAAAAUGUCUGGAGAUCAUUUAUAAAUGACAGGCUAUCAUAUUACCUCCACACUUUUAAAAAUGUUUAGCUUCUCCACAAUAUUACAUGAUUAAAAAGAAGAUUAAAGGACAAAUUCAUUCAUUGUGCAGAAAUACUUUUCAGAUAAGUGAAGGCUGACAACAUGCUUAAUCUGCAACUACUCCACGGGGGCUGGCCAUACAUGUUUGUGUGUAUAUACACAAACAUGUAACUUUUAAAAAUAAUUGUACCAUUAUUAACCAAAGUCCUGUACUUCACUACAUCUCUUUUAACUAGACUUUUAUCAAAUUUGUGAUCUGUAGAUGAGAAUGUAUUUUCUUGCAGCAGCAGUGUCACGUUACCAUGUCACAGAUGACAGAAAAUACAUGUGAUGAAAAUCGAAAUAAUUCAUCAUUCAAUAAACUAUAUAAUAUGAAAUGAACAUGCUGAAUGAUGGAAAAGCAGGCCAAAUCAGAUCGCGGGAAAAAUGGUCCAGAUGAACUGUGGAAAUUACAGAAGUUCUGAAAACUUUCAACAGCUUUGCAAAUUGACAUUAUAAGCACUUUGUGUCUAAUUGCACUUCAGGAACUAUGGUAUUCCUUCUUUAACAUCAGAAUAGUAUUUUUACACUUAUCACUUACAAUAAGGAGAAUUUUUUGGCUGCCAAGCGGAAUAAGAAAAACUUCCAAGCAGUAAAGGAGUCAGGAACUGGGGGAAGGGUCAUGAGGAUUUGUGUAUGUGUGAAAGGAGGAGACAUUAAGCCAGUGACAUAUUGGUGUCAAAAUUGACUUAAUACAACUUAAAAUGGAGGGUAAAGAGGGGAAGAGGAAAUGUGAAGUCAUUUCUUUGUAUAAACAUUCUCAGAAUUCUCAAUAAUGUAAUGCCUAAUGAAUGCAAUUUUUUUCCAGUAUAAAUUAAUAUAACUGAUGCAAGAUGUAGGACAAUUUUAAAACAUUAACUGUUUUUAGUAAGACUUUUAUUUUAAAAAUUUUCAAAAUAUAAAAAUAAUAAAUAUGGAUUUAACAAAACAUAAUUCAACUAUAAAUAAUAAAAAUGUUGACAACCCCACAUAAACAUUUAAUACUAUAAACAUUCUAAGCAUACAAGAGUAGUUUUCUAGUUCAAGU